GGAGAGAUGACCGAGAGGCCGAAGGUAGCGGUUUGCUAAAUCGCCGUAUGGUUUGCCAUACCGAGGGUUCGAAUCCCUCUCUCUCCG
RNAcentral lists this transfer RNA (87 nucleotides) under Chlorella sorokiniana. RNAcentral's name for it is "tRNA-Ser". It matches the Rfam family "tRNA". Rfam says of the family: Transfer RNA (tRNA) molecules are approximately 80 nucleotides in length. The record is from RNAcentral. Lineage: Eukaryota; Viridiplantae; Chlorophyta; Trebouxiophyceae; Chlorellales; Chlorellaceae.